RNAcentral lists this ribosomal RNA (494 nucleotides) under uncultured bacterium. Its description in RNAcentral is "partial 16S ribosomal RNA". It matches the Rfam family "Bacterial small subunit ribosomal RNA", at positions 28 to 507 of the family's 1533-position model. The record is from RNAcentral.
GACGAACGCUGGCGGCGUGCUUAACACAUGCAAGUCGAACGGAAAGGCCUGCUUUCCCUUGUGGCUUGCGGGUACUCGAGUGGCGAACGGGUGAGUAACACGUGAGUGAUCUGCCCCCAACUUGGGUAUAAGCCUGGGAAACUGGGUCUAAUUCCCGAUAGGACUGCAGUGUGGUGCCUGUGGUGGAACACGAUUUUCUAGUGGUUGGGGAUGAGCUCGCGGCCUAUCAGCUUGUUGGUGGGGUAAUGGCCUACCACGGCGGCGACGGGUAGCCCGCGUGGGAGAGUCAACGGCGGCAUGGGAGCAGGGUUACGGCCCAGAGUCCUGCGGGACGCAGCAGUGGGGAAUGUGGGGCAGUGGGCGGAAGCCUGAUGCAGCGAGGCAGAGUGGGAGAUGGCGGCGUUCGGGUUGUGAUCUACGUUCGAGCGCGAGAAAGCCACCUGGUUGGGAGGGUGGUGACGGUAGUGGUAGAAAAAGCACCGGCUAACUACGUG